Molecule: long non-coding RNA, 398 nt
Filed under: Gallus gallus (chicken)
Lineage: Eukaryota; Metazoa; Chordata; Aves; Galliformes; Phasianidae
Description: long non-coding RNA NONGGAT009132
Source: RNAcentral
CACCCGGCGAUCUUCUGAUGUUUUUUUCCCAGAGGAAAACUUCAGCCACUGGAACAGGCAUGGUCAGAAGCAGCUCUUUCUCAGUAAUCAAUCAUCUCAGCAUAAGAUGCUUCUUACCAGCAGGCACAUGCACAGAUCCACAACAUGUGAGUAUUCUCCUCUCAGUGUCAGUCUCAUGUGCAAACAGUGGCUUCCUACAGACACCCGAAUGCCUGCUGCCAUGAGGAUUGUAUGGUGCACGUGAGAAUAGGCACAGGACUCUUAGGAGUACUGCAAAAGGUAGGAGAUCUCACCAUACUCAUGCUUCUGGUUCCUCUCCCUUCCAAAUGAUUUGUCUGUUUUUUAGUAAGAUCUAAACAGAAAAGCGUGGUCUGCAUUAAAGAGAAGGAAAAAACAAC